GACGAACGCUGGCGGCGUGCCUAAUACAUGCAAGUCGAGCGGACCAAAGGGAGCUUGCUCCUGGAGGUUAGCGGCGAACGGGUGAGUAACACGUGGACAACCUGCCUGUAAGACUGGGAUAACAUCGAGAAAUCGGUGCUAAUACCGGAUAAUAAAAAGAACUGCAUGGUUCUUUUUUGAAAGAUGGUUUCGGCUAUCACUUACAGAUGGGCCCGCGGCGCAUUAGCUAGUUGGUGAGGUAACGGCUCACCAAGGCGACGAUGCGUAGCCGACCUGAGAGGGUGAUCGGCCACACUGGGACUGAGACACGGCCCAGACUCCUACGGGAGGCAGCAGUAGGGAAUCUUCCGCAAUGGACGAAAGUCUGACGGAGCAACGCCGCGUGAGUGAUGAAGGUUUUCGGAUCGUAAAACUCUGUUGUUAGGGAAGAACAAGUGCCGUUCGAAAGGGACGGCACCUUGACGGUACCUAACGAGAAAGCCACGGCUAACUACGUGCCAGCAGCCGCGGUAAA
Molecule: ribosomal RNA, 514 nt
Filed under: uncultured bacterium
Lineage: Bacteria
Description: bacterial SSU rRNA
Rfam family: Bacterial small subunit ribosomal RNA
Source: RNAcentral